GUAAUAUUUCACUUUCAAUUCUGCUAUUAAUAUUUUUUUUCCGUAUGACUUUCGCUAAUUUGGGUUUGUGUAGUAUCAAUAGGAAUUCCAGUUAUUUCUUUCACUCGAAUUUCUCUUUAAUGUUAUAUUAAUUGUGAAGUUCAAUUUGUAUUUUACAUUAAGUUUCUCUUUUUCUUUUCCAAUUAAUUAUAUCAUGUACUCUGUUCUUAUCUCAAUAUUUCUCAUAAGAUGUAUGUAUAGCUUCAAAUUGGUAAUUUAUGAUACCCUCGUUCACAACUUCUUUUGCAUGUAGUGGGACAAUUUAGAUAAUUUUUUGAAUUUUGUCAUGUUCUUAUACUUAUUUCAAUCUUUUGAUGUUCCAUUGAGUCUAAUACAUGAUUAACUUCUAGGUUUUCACCAUUUACUCAAAAUACCAUAUCUUAUUAGUUUAUGAGAACUGUAAAUUUCUCCAAUAACAUGUUAAUUCAAGAAUUAUACAUGAAUUGUGCUCAGAUUUCAACUUAGCCUUUGCAAGAUUAAUUGGAUUGAUUCUGGUGUAUUUAUGUGUGUGAUUAAGUUUACUAUACUGUUAAUUGGUUGUUCUCAGUGUUUUACCUUAGAGGAAUUAUCAUCCAAACUAAGAACGUACUUAUAAGUAAGCAAAGAAGAUGAGUCUUUGGGUGAUGUUAGUUUCAACAUAAAAUUUUACACAUCAAUGGAUUGAAGGUUUAGGUGAGCAGAGAUGUGUUGAUGGGUAAGGACUAAGGAGUAUUCUAACCAAUGCUUUGACAGAGGUAGCACCAGUCAAGUGCUUGGUGCAGGAUUCCUCUUUGGGAACAAGCUUUUACUAGCUAGGAGAAGAAGGGGAAGAUUAUGUGUGCCUUGUGUAGGAAAUUCCUCAACGAAUCGAUGUUUGCGUGCAGUAACAUUGCCAGCCACUGCCGAUCUUUCUCUCUCUUGAGAUCUGCGUGCAGUAACAGACAGACAGUGCAUAGUUGCUUCAUUAGUUUUGAUUUAGCAUAAAAUCUGAUUAUGGGAAGGAAGUUAUGUUUAGUUUGAUAUUGAUUUCAUGUCUUACAUUUUGAUCGACUUCUAAUUAGUAUGAGUAAUUCUUUAUGGUUUCUCCAGCUUUUGAUUUAGUUGCGAUGAGUGAUUAAACUGCUAGCCGUGGUAGUAUGAUGUGCUUGCUUAUAUGCUUAUUUCUUGUAAGUAAUUCAACAAAUUGAUGUCCACCAGAUGAGCAUGUUAGCUAACUUUCGUUAUUUUCAUGUUCGUUUGAUUUGACAAGUUGUAGAUGUUCUGAAAACGCAAGAACCACAACUGAUUCUGUCGAUUCCUCUUUUGCAAGCUCCCUUCUCAGUUUCUAUCUUCUCUGUGUUGGUUGCAACAACUCUUCACCAGCGGUAACAAUGGUCGUCGGCCGUCAUAACAUGUUAUCUUGAGAUUAAUCAAACCUGUCGAUUUUGCACCAAUGUCUCAAAUACUCUUCCAGAAAACCAGACCUUGAUUUCUCUCUCUUUCAAUCCCUAAUUUAUAAACAAAUCAGGGGAAGAUUGUAGAGGCAGGUGGUCGGGAUUACUUCCUUGUGUUGAAUCUUCUUAGAAGCUCUGAGAAUGAGACCAUACAUCGAGUUGCAGUUGGCGUUAUUGCGAAUUAAGCAAUAAAUGCAUGAAAAUGGUAAUAAAAAGAUACAACAAAAUGAAGGACGAAAGCAACCACCAGCUAUCAUCUGCUGCUUCUGAACUUAAGGUAAACGUAUUUUAUCACGUGAUUAGCCUGCAUCGACACUGAAGCUUGACCUGCAUUUAUCAGCCCAAACUCGGUGACGUUUUCACAUAUAACGUAACAAGAGAAAAACUUAAUGGAAAUAGCAUGCACAUGGUGGUAUUUGCAACUAUACGAUUUCACAUACACAAUCAGUGUAGCACGUAUAGGUAUGAUUCAGGUGUUUAAGAAUAUUUCCUACACAAGUAGCAUAAUGUUGAAUUCUCGCACCUCAUUUGCUGCAUAUUUUUAGGGUUUCAGCAUAUUUUUGUCUUACAGGUGUGAAGAACAAGUAUUUUAGCAGUAAUGUAUAUGUUGUUGUUACUUUACAAUACGUUCAGUAAUUUCCUGUAUGAACUUGCAAAUAUGGAACUUGUAUCCUUACAUUUCAGCAUUCAGAACCAGUGAAGCUGAAAAUGCAGUAUGCUGUCAAUUCGCAAACUGUCGAGAAUGUCACCAGGAGAUGCCAAUAUAGAUAUGGAAUUAGAUGAUAUCAGCGACUUAGAAGGGACGGGCUUGGCUCAUUUAUAGAAGUUGGAUGGCUCAUUUGACAAGAUGAACUAUUGGAAGAGUACAAGGGAUAUAUGUUUAUUAUACUAGAAGAACUUCGCAAUUUCAAGGAAAAGUUCUUCAUGGAUGACAAUGAACUUUCUAUUGUUGUGGCGGAUGCUACUAUAGCAGGAAAUUGGAUUGGUGAGUACAAGGAGAAGUUGAGGCGCAUUGUGGAUUUAGGCUACUUACAUUGUGGACUAGUUUAGUGUAAGCAUGAUUGUUUGGAUAAACUAUGAUGAAUGAAAGCACGACUUGACUUUUGUUUUGAUUAUUAGAGUACUUAGACAAACAAGAAAAUUGGUGUUUGUAGAUGUUUUUGUAAGCAACUAUAUAAUUAUAUCAAUUAAAUUAUUGUCUAUCCUAUAUGCUAA
Spinacia oleracea (spinach) is the source of this 2666-nucleotide long non-coding RNA. RefSeq lists it as uncharacterized. The record is from RefSeq and is a predicted model, not a curated record. The transcript is spliced from 3 exons. Lineage: Eukaryota; Viridiplantae; Streptophyta; Magnoliopsida; Caryophyllales; Amaranthaceae.